This 429-nucleotide ribosomal RNA is filed under the name Acidobacteriota bacterium. RNAcentral describes it as "Acidobacteria bacterium partial 16S ribosomal RNA". It matches the Rfam family "Bacterial small subunit ribosomal RNA", at positions 355 to 776 of the family's 1533-position model. Lineage: Bacteria; Pseudomonadati; Acidobacteriota. The record is from RNAcentral.
UGGGGAAUUUUGGACAAUGGGGGAAACCCUGAUCCAGCCAUCCCGCGUGUGCGAUGAAGGCCUUCGGGUUGUAAAGCACUUUUGGCAGGAAAGAAACGUCAUGGGUUAAUACCCCGUGAAACUGACGGUACCUGCAGAAUAAGCACCGGCUAACUACGUGCCAGCAGCCGCGGUAAUACGUAGGGUGCAAGCGUUAAUCGGAAUUACUGGGCGUAAAGCGUGCGCAGGCGGUUCGGAAAGAAAGAUGUGAAAUCCCAGAGCUCAACUGUGGAACUGCAUUUUUAACUACCGGGCUAGGGUGUGUCAGAGGGAGGUGGAAUUCCGCGUGUAGCAGUGAAAUGCGUAGAUAUGCGGAGGAACACCGAUGGCGAAGGCAGCCUCCUGGGAUAACACUGACGCUCAUGCACGAAAGCGUGGGGAGCAAACAGG